UACGAGGGGAGCAAGCGUUGUUCGGAUUUACUGGGCGUAAAGGGCGCGUAGGCGGCGUGACAAGUCACUUGUGAAAUCUCCGGGCUUAACUCGGAACGGUCAAGUGAUACUGUCGUGCUAGAGUACAGAAGGGGCAACUGGAAUUCUCGGUGUAGCGGUGAAAUGCGUAGAUAUCGGGAGGAACACCUGCGGCGAAGGCGGGUUGCUGGGCUGAUACUGACGCUGAGGCGCGAAAGCCAGGGGAGCGAACGGG
This 253-nucleotide ribosomal RNA is filed under the name uncultured bacterium. RNAcentral's name for it is "partial 16S ribosomal RNA". It matches the Rfam family "Bacterial small subunit ribosomal RNA", at positions 524 to 776 of the family's 1533-position model. The record is from RNAcentral.